UUACUGAACAGUGAGACUAGCAACGACCCAGUUACUAGCGGGAGCUGCUCCUCUCUUCUCUAACUCGGAAAGUAAUAUGAGAAGCAUCUGAAACCCUAAACUUUUUAUAUCUGAUCAAUUAUCUCUCUCCCUCGCUACUUAUUAUUAAUAAUGAUGGCAUCUCUGCUUCACUUCUCCACAGCAUCCACUUCUUCACUCCCUUCUUUUCUUCGCUCAAGUUUCUUCUCCAAAGAGCCUCGCUUCCCUCUCCGACAAGGCGUCAGGUGUAAUCUGGUGGAGCCGCUCAAGUUUGACAACGGCAAGCCUUGCAUCCCGCUCCUUAGUCCUAGCGAACAAUCAUUCCCAAGUUUUUUAGCUUCUACAGCCCACUUGGAUAACAGUAUUACUAACAGACAUGACACCAGGCUCCGCAUUUUCUCCGGCACUGCCAAUCCUGCACUCUCUCAGGAAAUCGCAUGCUACAUGGGUUUGGAGCUUGGAAAGAUUAAAAUAAAGCGUUUUGCUGAUGGUGAGAUUUAUGUCCAAUUGCAAGAAAGUGUCAGAGGAUGUGAUGUUUUCCUUGUGCAACCGACAUGUCCUCCUGCAAAUGAGAAUCUUAUGGAGCUUUUGAUAAUGAUUGAUGCUUGUCGGAGAGCUUCCGCCAAAAAUAUUACUGCAGUGAUUCCAUAUUUUGGGUAUGCCAGAGCUGAUAGGAAGACUCAAGGGCGUGAAUCCAUUGCUGCCAAACUUGUAGCAAAUUUGAUUACAGAAGCAGGUGCAAACCGUGUUCUUGCUUGUGAUCUUCAUUCUGGGCAGUCAAUGGGGUAUUUUGAUAUUCCCGUGGAUCAUGUCUAUGGUCAGCCUGUGAUACUUGAUUACCUUGCAAGCAAGACUAUUUGUUCUGAUGACUUGGUGGUGGUCUCCCCUGAUGUUGGUGGCGUAGCGAGAGCACGUUCUUUUGCCAAGAAAUUAUCAGAUGCACCUCUAGCCAUUGUGGAUAAAAGGCGUCAUGGGCACAAUGUUGCGGAGGUGAUGAAUUUGAUAGGGGAUGUGAAGGGAAAGGUUGCAGUCAUGGUGGAUGACAUGAUUGACACAGCUGGGACUAUUACUAAAGGUGCAGCUUUAUUGCAUCAAGAGGGAGCAAGAGAGGUCUAUGCAUGCAGUACACAUGCUGUUUUCAGGUAUCUGGAUCCCUUUGGAAUAAUAGUCCAUUUUGUUUUGUGAAAAUUUGGUAUCAGAAGGUCUGGUGGAGUAGCCCUGGCCACCAUCUGGUUCCGGGCCAGAACAUUUGGUUCUGGUCCAUGGAAUCGAGGGCUUAGGACUGGACUGCAGGGUCCCUUUUAGAUCUCCAGUUUGAGACAAUUUAAUGGUUGAAAUUAAUUAUUUAUUUUUUUCUUUUUAUAAAGAAAAAUGCCAGUUUGAACCGGACAGGCCUGGUUGUGGUUAGGACCCAUGGAACUCCUCUCUGGUUCUGGUCCCGGGUUAGAUCAGGCUGGUGCAGAUCUACAGUGGAGUGUGUUAACUGUCAACUGGAGCAAGCAACAACAGAUGUUUUACCUUUUAUAUCUAUGUAUAGGUUCAAACACUUUUGGAGAUAGGUUAAGAAAUCAGUAUUUAGACCCAUUGAUGGUUUGGAAUUCAUAUGAUGAGUUGGAUCCUAACAGGCUAACAUUGGUAGGCAAAAUCAGUCUGCUAUCUUUGUGCGGUUUCACUUCACUCAACUUCCAAACUAAGUCAAAGUUACGUAGAUCGGAAGUUUGACUGUGACCAUCAGUAUACCAUCACUAAUUGUAGCUGAAGUACUUAAAAAUAAUCUUUUGGCUGAACACUGAUACUGUCCCUGUUUUAUCUUGAACAACAUUUAAAGCAAGAUCAUCCAUGCAUCUGAUUGUUGUUUAAAUGAAUUUCACUACUACUUUGUGUUUGAAUUUGCAGUCCUCCUGCUAUAGAGAGAUUAUCAAGUGGUCUUUUUCAAGAGGUGAUCAUAACCAACACAAUACCAGUGUUGGAGCAGAACUAUUUUCCUCAGCUCACCAUCUUGUCAGUAGCAAACCUCCUGGGCGAGACCGUAUGGCGUGUUCAUGAUGACUGCUCUGUGAGUAGCAUCUUUCAAUAGAAUUGGAGUAAUAUGGUAUUCAACUUAAUGACGUUGAACCAAAUAUCCAAAUUACAAGAAUAAAAUUAAUUUAUUUAUUUUUGCACACAAGAACAUUGAUGUGUUGUGGUUUCCUCCCCUUUUUCCUUUCCCUUAGCAAUGCAUACACGAGGAAGAAUGAGAUCAUGGAAGCAUAUUAUGCCCUAAAUCACACUCAAGAAAUUUGAACUGAAACAUUAGUCAAGUUGCCAGGAAUUUUAUUUCAAAAAAGGCCUUUUAUUUUAUUGAUCUAAUUUUUUCUACAGAAAAGCCUCAAAGUUAAUACAUUUGUCAAUCAUGGCUGGUGCGCAACGAUCCUAAUUGUCCUGGUUCUUGUACAUAGAUUUUUCUCACUUUGGAAUUGAUGGCAUUAGAAUAGUUUCAUUGUGGAUUCUUUUUUCUCAUUGUCAGGGUGCCUUUGAACCCUAUUCCAGCUUGGGCAUUGACUGAUCAAUUCACAAGCAGUGGUUUGUCUCCCAGCUUCCACUGUUGCCAUUUUUAUCUGUCCUUCAAAAGUGUAAUCAAUUUAUAACAAAAUAGAAAAUUUCUGUUUAGAGAAACCAUGUCUUUAGUCAUUGGUAUGCAGAACUUGAUGCAACAAGUGUGUUGGGCUACAGUGUUUUUUCUUUUAUUCCCCCUAAUGUGUUGAUGAUAAAACUCUGUUGAAGUUAUCCUCAUAAAUGAUAUAAGCUGCGUAUUUCCAUGUGAAAUUGAUUCAUUAAUUGCUUGUGCAAAAU
RNAcentral lists this unclassified non-coding RNA (2850 nucleotides) under Hevea brasiliensis (rubber tree). Lineage: Eukaryota; Viridiplantae; Streptophyta; Magnoliopsida; Malpighiales; Euphorbiaceae. The record is from RNAcentral.